GACGGCAGCUAUCUGCAGUCGAGCGAUGGAUAUGAUCUUGCUCUUAUGAAGUUAGCGGCGGACGGGUGAGGAUUCGUGUCUGACUAGCCCAUAAGACUGGCAUUACUCCGGGAAACCGGGUAUAGUAUCGGCCCUCCUUUUGAACCGCAUGGUUCGAAAUUGAUAGGCGGCUUCGGCUGUCACUUAUGGAUGGACCCGCGUCGCAUUAGCUAGUUGGUGAGGUAACGGCUCACCUAGGGAACGAUGCAUAGCCGACCUGAGAGGGGGGUCGGCCACACUGGGACUGAACCUCGGCCCGGACUCCUACGGGAGGCAGCAGUAGGGAAUCUUCCGCAAUGGACGAAAGUCUGACGGAGCGACGCCGCGUGAGUGAUGAUGGCUUUCGGGUCGUAAAACUCUGUUGUUAUGGAAGAACAAGCGCUAGGUGAAAUAAGCUGGCCCCUUGACGGUACCUAACCAGAAAUCCGCGGCUAACUACGUGCCAACAGCCGCGGUAAUACGUAUGUGGCAAGCGUGAUCCGGAAUUAUUGGGCGUAAAGCGCGCGCAGGUGGUUUCUUAAGUCUGAUGUGAAAGCCCACGGCUCAACCGUGGAUGGUCAU
This 600-nucleotide ribosomal RNA is filed under the name Bacillus cereus. Its description in RNAcentral is "bacterial SSU rRNA". It matches the Rfam family "Bacterial small subunit ribosomal RNA", at positions 44 to 626 of the family's 1533-position model. The record is from RNAcentral. Lineage: Bacteria; Bacillati; Bacillota; Bacilli; Caryophanales; Bacillaceae.